RNAcentral lists this ribosomal RNA (465 nucleotides) under uncultured bacterium. RNAcentral describes it as "partial 16S ribosomal RNA". It matches the Rfam family "Bacterial small subunit ribosomal RNA", at positions 339 to 795 of the family's 1533-position model. The record is from RNAcentral.
CUACGGGAGGCAGCGGUGGGGAAUAUUGGACAAUGGGGGAAAUCCUGAUCCAGCAAUGCCGCGUGUGUGAAGAAGGCCUGCGGGUUGUAAAGCACUUUCGGUUGGGAGGACUGCUUCUAGCACUAAUAUUGUUGGAAGUUGACGUUACCUUCAGAAGAAGCACCGGCUAACUCCGUGCCAGCAGCCGCGGUAAUACGGAGGGCGCAAGCGUUAAUCGGAAUUACUGGGCGUAAAGCGCGCGUAGGCGGCUAGAUCAGUCGGGUGUGAAAGCCCCGGGCUUAACCUGGGAACUGCAUCCGAUACUGUCUAGCUUGAGUACAGGAGAGGAGAGUGGAAUUCCACAUGUAGCGGUGAAAUGCGUAGAUAUGUGGAGGAACACCAAUGGCGAAGGCAGCUCUCUGGCCUGAUACUGACGCUGAGGUGCGAAAGCGUGGGGAGCAAACAGGAUUAGAUACCCUCGUAGUC